CAUUACCUAGCGGCGGACGGGUGAGUAAUGCUUAGGAAUCUGCCUAUUAGUGGGGGACAACAUUCCGAAAGGAAUGCUAAUACCGCAUACGUCCUACGGGAGAAAGCAGGGGACCUUCGGGCCUUGCGCUAAUAGAUGAGCCUAAGUCGGAUUAGCUAGUUGGUGGGGUAAAGGCCUACCAAGGCGACGAUCUGUAGCGGGUCUGAGAGGAUGAUCCGCCACACUGGGACUGAGACACGGCCCAGACUCCUACGGGAGGCAGCAGUGGGGAAUAUUGGACAAUGGGGGGAACCCUGAUCCAGCCAUGCCGCGUGUGUGAAGAAGGCCUUUUGGUUGUAAAGCACUUUAAGCGAGGAGGAGGCUACUAGUAUUAAUACUACUGGAUAGUGGACGUUACUCGCAGAAUAAGCACCGGCUAACUCUGUGCCAGCAGCCGCGGUAAUACAGAGGGUGCGAGCGUUAAUCGGAAUUACUGGGCGUAAAGCGCGCGUAGGCGGUUAUGUAAGUUGGAUGUGAAAUCCCCGGGCUUAACCUGGGC
This 538-nucleotide ribosomal RNA is filed under the name uncultured Acinetobacter sp. RNAcentral's name for it is "bacterial SSU rRNA". It matches the Rfam family "Bacterial small subunit ribosomal RNA", at positions 86 to 619 of the family's 1533-position model. The record is from RNAcentral. Lineage: Bacteria; Pseudomonadati; Pseudomonadota; Gammaproteobacteria; Moraxellales; Moraxellaceae.